Molecule: transfer RNA, 120 nt
Filed under: Candidatus Woesearchaeota archaeon
Lineage: Archaea; Nanobdellati; Candidatus Woesearchaeota
Description: tRNA-Pro
Source: RNAcentral
GGGGCUGUAGUGUAGCUUGGUAUCACUCAUGGUUCGGGGCCAUGCAACCGGAGUUCAAACACACUCGCUGGCGUUUGCAGCUUUGCAAUGCCGGUGGCGUUGAAAGUCUUCGCAGCCCCA